Molecule: long non-coding RNA, 1410 nt
Filed under: Felis catus (domestic cat)
Lineage: Eukaryota; Metazoa; Chordata; Mammalia; Carnivora; Felidae
Description: lncRNA (ENSFCAG00000047730.1)
Source: RNAcentral
AUGCACAGCAAGCCCAGCUUUAAUCCCAAACUAGGCUCACGACAGGCUUCCGGGACCCGGGGAACCUGGUGGGGGUGCUGCUCAGGGGCCAGCCAGUGGGUCUCUGGCCACUGCCCCGGGGGGAGCCUGCCACCCCCAGACGGGUUCCCUCCCAUCCCCCUGCCAGGGGAGCAGCAUCCUGGGGGUCAGUGCCCCCACACUGUGGUGGGGACAAGAGUGGGUUCCCACCACGGAGCUGGACGUCACAGAGCCUCCACUUUCCAUCCUGAAUCGUGUUUGGCUCCGACAACAUUCCUCGUCUGGACAUUUGCUGAGGGCACCAGCACUGGUGGGGGCAGACUCCGCCCCCACCCAGAGACGUUGGGGGACAAAGGGGAGUCUGGGUGAUGCUCUGCGGAGACCCUCUUCAGGAAGUCUUCUGCAAGCUUCUGGCCAGAUACAUAGGGAGCUGACUUCAUUUCGGCCACGACUGACGGGCAGGAAGUGUCAUUACCUAAAUGGGCCGAUGGGCCGAUAAGAAGCCCAAGGAGAAAGCCGUCCUCAGGCCUCGGCCCUGGGGAACCAGCAGGAAAGGCCAGCGUGUCAGGGCCUCGGGCAGGGAGGAUCCGUCCCAGAGCUCGGGCAGUCCACGCUGCCCCUCCCGCGUCCCCCGUGGGCCUCCGGAACAUGCGAAUGUACCAGGGCAGAAAAGUCCCUGAGUGUCAGAACAAGGGCCCCUCCCUAAAAUAUUCACACUUAAAAAUAUUAUGAUCGAAGCUAAUAGUCCCACGAUGGGGAAAUCGUUCUAAGAAGAAAAGGUUUGAGGGCGUGGACAGUUGCCCCAUACUCAGCCGUCAAAACCCGCUUCGUGGAAUCCCUCCCUCUGCCCGAGAACCACACCCGAUCGCUGUCGGGCGUGUGAUUAAGUCGAAGAAUGUUAGCUUCACACCUGCAUUCGGGCGGAGGACAUCUUUCAGGCCCUGCAGGGCAGAAACGGCUCCCCAAGACGGAAGCCGCUGUCCUCGGCCCUGAGGGGGAGCGAGGGGGCCCAGCCCUCAGAGAGGACAGGCAGGCUGGUCCACGUAGAACAGCACAGUAGGCCGUGGUCACCGCUGUUAUUUCCACAGCCCCCACCUCCCCGCUCCUGCUUCCCCCCCCUGGAGAUGCCGGGGGCUCCCGGGGCAGCAGCCACAUCGCCCCUCCUCUGGCAUCUAGAGGCCGCCGGGCCCACGGGAUGGCAGGAUGGUGGCCGUGGACACGAGCCAGGCCUCUGGGCCAGAGUGCCACGGAAUCGCGUGGCCGCCCAGGAGCAGGGCCGGGGCUCGGUGCACACGGGCCCUCCAGCCGACCGGCCGUACCCACCUGAUGUAUCCGCGUGCGGGAAACAUUCCUCUCCUCUACCCAGCCCCCUCCUUUCUGGAAGGGCUCUCU